Hyla sarda is the source of this 1298-nucleotide long non-coding RNA. RefSeq lists it as uncharacterized. The transcript is spliced from 4 exons. NCBI's taxonomy places the organism in Eukaryota, Metazoa, Chordata, Amphibia, Anura, Hylidae. The record is from RefSeq and is a predicted model, not a curated record.
AGACACACACACAAACAUGCCAGCCACAUUCACACACACAAACACACACCAUUAUUUAUAGAGAUAACCUUCUUUAGUAUGCCCAGAGGAAGGGCAAUACAGCAGCCAUGGUUUCCCUACAGGUUUCCUCUACUGGGUUUUUUUUCUUGUCCUGAGUGUUACUGUAUGCUCUUGGUGAGUGACAGGAGGUUAAUACACAUAUACACAUUAUUAUAAUAAACUUUACAUUUUUUACUUUUCUUUGACUUGUCCAAGUAAUUUUCUUUUAUUUCUGUAUGUGAAAAAUAGUGUUAGCAAAAUUUGGAUGACAUUAGAUUUGUUAGAGUGUCGAAAGCUGCUCUCCCACCCAAUCUGCACAGUCCAGUUCCGAGAGACAUAGCUGAUGCUGGGUGGUACAGUUGUCAAGGCAACUAUAUGACACCCAGCGAGUUCCGUGCACAAGCUGAUUUCUGAUGAACAGGAUUCAUCUAGGGAACUUUCUGGCGGUUGUACAAUUGCAGAGGAUCAGGUAGAGAUGGAGUCAGGAACAUAGUAUAUUGCACCUUAACAGUAACACCUUCACUAUGGGACUCCAUUGAACCUAUUGCUAAGAUGCCAGAACGCAAGAGCGUGUACUGCUGUCCCUCAUUCUUCUUACAGUUAAUGCCAAGGCAGAACUAAGCGAGAGGUGGAAGGAAGAGAUAAUGGAAAGGUACAACAGUGCUGUGAGAUGCGAUAAGCAAGAGGGCACCAGAGACAAAGAAAGUGAAUUUAGAGAAGAAGAUACUGUGGCAUCUAUGUGACGAGAAGAAUGAAUGACUGAAAGUACAUUAUUAUGGAAGCAGCUAUCUUGCCUGAGAUGAAUUUAUCAGCAUUUACAGACCUGAUUUACAGCAAGGCCUAUGGACACAGGCACAAUAGUCUGAAGUGGACUUUUAGUAGCUGUGUCAGUCCCCAAUACUCUGACCAAAAUCUCUGAUAUGUAUCUAGCUAAGGAGAGUGCAGCAGUUACCAUUUCCUAUGGUAUAAAGACUACAUUUUGAGAAUUCAAAUCAUCAGAUGAGGAUCUGUGCAGACACUAAGCCAGCAAAGCAUGCUGGGAGAUUUCACUUCACCUUUCUACUUUCUUCCUAUAAUAACAUUCUGCCUGUCUUCCAUUCUCUGCAGUGUUCCAGGUAAUCUACAUUGGCUUCUGUUUGAGGCUUUUUUUCUUUGUGCCUCUGGUUUCGACUACUGAUAUACCGUAUAUAUAUAUAUAUAUAAUACAUGCUUCAUGUCUGUAGAUUUGACUACUGCCUUGUUUGACAACAUUAAACCAG